Molecule: ribosomal RNA, 622 nt
Filed under: Latilactobacillus sakei
Lineage: Bacteria; Bacillati; Bacillota; Bacilli; Lactobacillales; Lactobacillaceae
Description: bacterial SSU rRNA
Rfam family: Bacterial small subunit ribosomal RNA
Source: RNAcentral
GCUAAUACAUGCAAGUCGAACGCACUCUCGUUUAGAUUGAAGGAGCUUGCUCCUGAUUGAUAAACAUUUGANUGAGUGGCGGACGGGUGAGUAACACGUGGGUAACCUGCCCUAAAGUGGGGGAUAACAUUUGGAAACAGAUGCUAAUACCGCAUAAAACCUAACACCGCAUGGUGUAGGGUUGAAAGAUGGUUUCGGCUAUCACUUUAGGAUGGACCCGCGGUGCAUUAGUUAGUUGGUGAGGUAAAGGCUCACCAAGACCGUGAUGCAUAGCCGACCUGAGAGGGUAAUCGGCCACACUGGGACUGAGACACGGCCCAGACUCCUACGGGAGGCAGCAGUAGGGAAUCUUCCACAAUGGACGAAAGUCUGAUGGAGCAACGCCGCGUGAGUGAAGAAGGUUUUCGGAUCGUAAAACUCUGUUGUUGGAGAAGAAUGUAUCUGAUAGUAACUGAUCAGGUAGUGACGGUAUCCAACCAGAAAGCCACGGCUAACUACGUGCCAGCAGCCGCGGUAAUACGUAGGUGGCAAGCGUUGUCCGGAUUUAUUGGGCGUAAAGCGAGCGCAGGCGGUUUCUUAAGUCUGAUGUGAAAGCCUUCGGCUCAACCGAAGAAGUGCAUCG